Molecule: long non-coding RNA, 207 nt
Organism: Hylaeus anthracinus
Lineage: Eukaryota; Metazoa; Arthropoda; Insecta; Hymenoptera; Colletidae
Exons: 3
Source: RefSeq, a predicted model, not a curated record
GAUUGUCAGUCUUCGGGUGAUCUCGUGGAAGUUUCGGGCGCUAAUGACUCCGCUGGCUCCCAUACAUUAAUCAUUCUAAUAUGGUUUCUCAACAACUGGCCGUUUCGAAGGAAGUUAUAAGAAAGCCGCCAGGCGAUUUAAAAUGGAGAGGAUAUAUGUAUGAACGCCGUUCUCAAGUGCACGUUGUUCAGACUUUAAUAAUCACUU